This 500-nucleotide ribosomal RNA is filed under the name uncultured bacterium. Its description in RNAcentral is "partial 16S ribosomal RNA". It matches the Rfam family "Bacterial small subunit ribosomal RNA", at positions 30 to 523 of the family's 1533-position model. The record is from RNAcentral.
AUUGAACGCUGGCGGCAUGCCUUACACAUGCAAGUCGAACGGUAACGGGUCCUUCGGGAUGCCGACGAGUGGCGAACGGGUGAGUAGUAUAUCGGAACGUGCCCAGUAGUGGGGGAUAACUGCUCGAAAGAGCAGCUAAUACCGCAUACGACCUGAGGGUGAAAGGGGGGGAUCGCAAGACCUCUCGCUAUUGGAGCGGCCGAUAUCAGAUUAGCUAGUUGGUGGGGUAAAGGCCUACCAAGGCAACGAUCUGUAGUUGGUCUGAGAGGACGACCAGCCACACUGGGACUGAGACACGGCCCAGACUCCUGCGGGAGGCAGCAGUGGGAAAUUUUGGACAAUGGGCGCAAGCCUGAUCCAGCAAUGCCGCGUGCAGGAAGAAGGCCUUCGGGUUGUAAACUGCUUUUGUCAGGGAAGAAAUCUUCUGGGCUAAUACCCCGGGAGGAUGACGGUACCUGAAGAAUAAGCACCGGCUAACUACGUGCCAGCCGCCGCCGUAA